GGGUCAGUAGGUUGGUCGUGCCACCGGUACGUACUGGUCUCACUGAUUCCUCCUUCCUGAAGAACCGUAAUGCCAUUAAUUUGGUGUUGCGGGGAAACAGGACUGUUACUUUGAAAAAAUUAGAGUGUUUAAAGCAAGCUAACGCUUGAAUACAUUAGCAUGGAAUAAUGAAAUAGGACGAUCGAUCCUAUUUUGUUGGUUUCUUGGAUUGACGUA
Molecule: ribosomal RNA, 216 nt
Filed under: Glomeromycotina sp.
Lineage: Eukaryota; Fungi; Glomeromycota
Description: partial small subunit ribosomal RNA
Rfam family: Eukaryotic small subunit ribosomal RNA (bases 40-216)
Source: RNAcentral